Long non-coding RNA from Aethalodelphis obliquidens (Pacific white-sided dolphin), 2721 nucleotides. RefSeq lists it as uncharacterized. The record is from RefSeq and is a predicted model, not a curated record. Lineage: Eukaryota; Metazoa; Chordata; Mammalia; Artiodactyla; Delphinidae. The transcript is spliced from 3 exons.
GUGGUCUGAAUAAAAUUAGGCCAGCAAAUUUUUAUUUAUAUGCCACUAAAGUUUGUCAAGACAAGAUAAGCAAUAGAAAUCUAGAGGACACUUUGUGCGUUGUCAUUUAACUGUGUCCCAAUUUUCAAAAGGUGGAAGUGGGAGGAGUUGAUUCUAAACGCCAUGGUGGAAUAUGGUAAGACGUUAUCUCAAGAUAGCUGUUUAAAGAUAAUAAUCGUAGCUCAAACUGUCAGUAACAGAAUGAGUACUCAUGGCAGUGUUUUGGUCUAAGCAUUUUCCAGGAGCAAUAUUCUACACCUCAUAUUAAUCUAAGAAGCAUAAAAUAGAGUAUUUUUAUACUGUAGAUUAUAACUCUUUAGUGGUGAUUAAAUCAAUUUAGUAUGUCAUGAGCUGUCAUAAUCAGUAUCUUUAAAAAACAGAACAUAAAACAUCGGAAUAUAUUGCUUAGUGUAAAUAAUAUGUACUGUUUUGUGAAACUUGUUUCAGGUGUGUAUGUGUGUGUGUGUGUGCGUGCACACACACACAUCAGAUCACAAUAUAAAAAGAAUGUCUUCCUAUUGGUUGUGGUUGGAGAAGUUUGAAAACAUUGAAAUCAGGACUUAAGGCAAGCACCAGCUGUAAAGGAAAGAAAGAAAAUAUAUUUGCAGUCAAUGGUAGUUCAUUCAUUCCACAGCUAUUUCUUCAAUGUAUUGAACACCAAAUGUAUGCAUAACAACUGCCUAAAAUUAGGAGGAGACACAAGUGCAACUUUUAAGGUGAGCCCUUCUCUCUGGGGAGAGUUUACAAUCUUGUUGGAAAGAGAAGUUGCAGAGAGGAGUCAGUUAAAUAACAGUCCAAGGCAGUAUGAGAUUAAGUUCUAAACUAUACCAAUAAUAGUCAUUAAUUUCAGAAAACUGAUGUGGGCAAUAGCAGUUGAGGAGCGUUCGGAAGAAAGGAGGUGAAUUUGAGCUGAACUUGAAAUGGGAGGAUGAAGGUGGGAGGGAAAGGCUUUCCAGCAGGAAGAAGUGCGGAAAGCUAAAGAUGUUUGAGGUACAACUAAUUUGGAGUAAUAAGAGGUGGGGUUGGGUGAAUAAGGGGAGGCGUAGUAUCAGGAGAGUUUCCAGUUAGUCACGGGAGUUUACCGGAAAUUGGGCAAUCACUGGAAUUUUCUGAACAAUGACAUGACAGGUUGAAAUCAGAGUGUUAGUCCAUAGACAUUAUACGUGAUAGGGUGAAGAGAGAAGAAAGCUCAGAUAGGAAAUUAUUGCCAGAGUGAACCAUCCAGCUCAAAAGUGCUGGACUGGCAAAGAGCCAGAAGUAAAGCACGUUGUAGGAAGUUGUGCUCUGGCGACACACAAGGAAACCUGAAACUUAAGCCAUUUCAAGUGAGGUGACAGACCUUCCAAGAGAAUAACAGCAUCACACAACAGCCACUGAUUUAAUGAUGGAGCAAUGCUUCUUGCCAAUCAUCGUAUACAUAUUCAGUGACCUUGCAUGAAGAAACAUCCUGUCUGCAGAAAAGGAGACUGCACCUCAUUUACACAAGGCAGGGCUGAUAAGCAUGAUGAGGUGGUGAAUAACAGAGGCUCAGAAAUUGGACUCUAUGGUUUUGAAUCCUGCCUUCACACCUUUUGUGUGAUGUUGAACAAAUUACUUAACCUCUCAGACUCUCCAUAAAAUGAGGAUAAUAAUAUCUACUUCACAGGGUUGUUGCAGGGACAGAAUGAAAAAAAUACAUGUAAAUCACUUAGAACGAUGCCUGACACAUAUUUAGUAAAUGCUAGCUACUAUUUCUAUUUUAACGAUAGAAUGAGGCACACCACUGUAAACUAUCAUGGUGUGUAAUCCAUCCCACCAGUUAUUUAUGGAUGUUACUUAUUCUUUUGUUAAAAAGUAUUGCAUAUGAUGUCUAUGACAUAUUUGCUUCUUAUAAUAAUGAAACUUCAGAAAAUUCACUGUGUGUUAUCAAAUGUGAUUGUCUCGAACAAUUACUGAGUAUGAUCUCAAUCAUCAGAAUGAAAAAACGUUACCGUGGAAUCACAUGGGACUCUGAGACUCUCUGAUACACAUGCACCCCUUACAACACCUACACAGUGACAUACAUUCAAAAGGUACUGCUUGCCUCAAUGUUUGCAUGCAAGAACAAACAAGAAAUGUGUGUCUCUGAAAUAAAAUGUUAAAUUUCAUGCCAAUAUAGGUAUUUAUUGUUUGUGGGAACAUCAUUUAAUAGAUAGGUAUUAACACUUUUACAAUUGGUUACUUAGGAUACUGUAUUUUAACUCAGCAUCAGUCAGUUUUUCUGAAAUGUGAUAUAUUUUCUUCCUCCUUUAAUAUUUGUGCUAAUAACAAUGGUACCUAACAUUCAUUGACCAAUUACUACAUGCCUGUGCUUUCUUUGUAUUAACUUGGAACAGCCUGAUGAGCUGGAUACUCAUUAUUUCCAUUUUAUAGGUAAGGCACAGAAGUUUGAAUAGCUUGACUAAGUUAAUAGCUAGUGCGUGGUGGAGCCUAGAUUUGGACCAGUAAUCUCUAGCAUCAACUCAGUUUAACCAUUGUACCAUACUAUACACUAAGUUAUAUAUUAGUGUGUUAAAUGUAUAAUGUUCUACAAAAUGCCUGACAGGGGUUUGCAUUUGCCAUUGGUUGAUUUUAAAUCAAGUGAAAAUUAGAAGUGUGAAUCUGAGACUAUGUUAAAGUGAACUUUAUAACAUUUAAAAAAUAAAUUUACUUAUUUUAUUUUUA